GGAGCGGUGUCCGAGUGGUUGAAGGAGACGGUCUUGAAAACCGCUGUACCGCAAGGUACCGGGGGUUCGAAUCCCCCCUGCUCCG
Molecule: transfer RNA, 85 nt
Filed under: Treponema sp.
Lineage: Bacteria; Pseudomonadati; Spirochaetota; Spirochaetia; Treponematales; Treponemataceae
Description: tRNA-Ser
Rfam family: tRNA
About the family: Transfer RNA (tRNA) molecules are approximately 80 nucleotides in length. Their secondary structure includes four short double-helical elements and three loops (D, anti-codon, and T loops). Further hydrogen bonds mediate the characteristic L-shaped molecular structure. tRNAs have two regions of fundamental functional importance: the anti-codon, which is responsible for specific mRNA codon recognition, and the 3' end, to which the tRNAs corresponding amino acid is attached (by aminoacyl-tRNA synthetases). tRNAs cope with the degeneracy of the genetic code in two manners: having more than one tRNA (with a specific anti-codon) for a particular amino acid; and 'wobble' base-pairing, i.e. permitting non-standard base-pairing at the 3rd anti-codon position.
Source: RNAcentral